AUCCCUUUUUAAAAUUUUUUUUCUUCCUUGUGUAUAUUAGGAAAGAUUUCAUAAGAGAGAAGUAAAAACUGGCCAUUCCUCCAGCAGCUUCCUUACACUUAAAGUCAACAAUCCUUACCAUGUCCUGAAAUGCUUUCUGUGAUGUCUGCCUGUAUCAGCCUAAUGGACCUCAACUAGUUACAGAGCUCAAAAUCAUUGAGAAGGAUUGAAAUUAAUUCUUGGUGUUAAUUUGGAUGAUGGUAAAUACUAUAACCAUAUAAACAUCAACAAAUAUACACAAAGCAUACCCUUUCCCUCUCUCUUCCUCUCUCUCUCUCUCUCUCUCUCUCUGCCUCCUUCUCUGAGAAAGAAAAGAUGUGAAAAAAAAAACUGUCACUGGAUUUGGGGAAUCUAUAGAGCUAUCCCACAGGAGUUUGUGAAGACAAUGAAGCUGUUUUUAGUCAUUCAUUCUCUUCUCUUUUAAAACUUUAUACCUUCUAUUUGUCUUUAUUACUUUUACAUUUAAUGCCCACUGAAUAGGAAAAGUUGGACACACUUCUUUUCAAAUUAAAACUUCACACUCAGUAGCCUCAAGAUUUGUGGCAAAGUAUUAACCUUUCUGUGUUGCAUUUGUUAUGUCUUGAAAAUGAAAAUAAAAUUGGAGGUAUUACAACAGAUAGCAGAUUUAAAGCACUUAGGGUACUCUACAGCAAACAGAAAUCAUCAAUAAGUGUUUUUACCUCUUCAUUUACUCUUUUUUAUUAAAAUAUAUUUUCCUGAAAGGGUCUAAUGUCAGGAAGUUACACUAAAGGGAGAAAUUUCGUCAGUGAAUUUCUUGUUCUGAGAGCCUUCAAAUUUUCAGCUUUACUCUUAAUGGUAAAGUAUCAUAUUUAUUCUGCAUUAUAGGGAAUUAAAAUGUUUGAGCUUGUAGAACUGAGAUACGAUUUCUUUCAAUAAGUCUUAUCUGUAGGAGAUGAUAAUACAAUUGACCCCCUGAAUAAUUGGCAAGGGUAGAGGGUCAACUCCUUGUGAAAGAAAAAAUCCACAUGUGACCAUACAAUUGGCCCUCCAUUUCCAAGGUUCCACAUCCAUGAAUUUAAGCAAUCAUGGGUCAUGUAGUACUGUAUAUUGAAAAAAGUCAUUGUAUAAGUGGACCUGCACAGUACAAACCUGUGUUGUUCAAGGGUCAACUGUAUAUGAAUAUUUGACUCACACAAAACAUACUUAUGUCACUGCACUACUGCCAAUAAAAUAAUUUAAAUAUAUAAAUAUGGAAAAAAUGUAACAUUAUGAUUUCCAAAUUUUUUACCUGGUUAUAGACUAUCAACGUUUCAAUAUGACAGUUUUACCGUAAACUCAAUGAUGUUUUAUAUCCUGAACUGAGUAUCAUAGGAACCAUUAAUCUAUAUUUCUAAUAAAACUUCAAAACUAGUUAAGUGCAGUUGUUAAAUAAUUUCCUUUUAUAGUAUAGGUUUUACAAUUAACAAGCCAGACACUGAUUCAAAUCAUUAUCAAUUUCUCUGUGAUUAUUAUAGCUUUCAUAAUAAUCUGCACUCUAUUAACAUAGAUUAGGCAGCACUUUAAAGAGCAGCAUCAUUAGCUUUGGUUUCACAAAAAGAUGAGAAUAAACCAGACUUUUAAUUUCAUGGAGUUUCAGAGUUGCAAACCAACACCAAAGUGCUCAGACAAAAUACAUAAACAAAUAUGAUUUUGAAUGUGACUUUUUCCGUGUUCUAAUACCAUCUUUUGGAGCUUACAUUCAUUAAUAUUUUAUAUAGUUGUCUUUUUUCAUUUAAAUUUCAGAAUUAAACAGAAUAGCCUAGAAACUAAGGCAGUUACUCAGCAGACUUAAUUAGUUAUGACUCAUGUUUAAUAUCAAAGGGAUAUAAUAUAAAAAUGUAAAAUAAUCCUGAAAUGUAUUGAAAUGUAUAAUGUAUUCAAAUGCAGUUUAAUCUAGAAAAACAAUGACAGUAUAAAACAAUAAAAAUAUAUGCCUACUGAAUAGAUAGGGUUCAAAACAGAAAAAAAGGCUAGAAAAGAGCAUGGCUUUUUCAGAAUGAAAUUAAAGAAAAUAAUUAACUUUGCAAAUCGUUAAGUUAAAAAAGUAUUUAUAAUUUCUACCGCGGGGCUAAAUAAAAAUACAUAAAAUAUAAAGUACAGGGGGAAAAAAAACUGUUUGAAGGGAAAUGGAGAGUUUCUGGGGUCUAAAGAACUGGAAAAAAAUUCUGGGAGAAAAAACUUGGAUAUAAAAGAUAGUUUCUGCAAGACUUACAACCUGGGAACAUUUGCUAAGCCAUCAUUUCUUUAUUUUUUAACUGUUUUUAUUUUUUAAAUUAAAAAAAAAUUUUAAUGGUUUUUAUUUUUUCUGUUAUAGUUGGUUUACGGUGUUCUGUCAAUUUUCUACUGUACAGCAAAGUGACCCAGUCACACACACACACACACACACACACACACACACACACACACAUACAUAUACAUACACAUUCUUUUUUUCAUAUUAUCCUCCAUCAUGCUUCAUCACUGGAUAUAGUUCUCAGUGCUAUACAGCAGGAUCUCAUUGCUUAUGCAUUCCAAAUGCAAUAGUUUGCAUCACUUAACCCCAGAUUCCCAGGUCAUCCUACUCCCUCCCCCUCCCCCUUAGCAAACACAGGUAUGUUCUCCAAGUCCAUGGGUUUCUUUUCUGUGGAAAGGUUCAUUUGUGCCAUCUAUUAGAUUCCAGAUAUGUGAUAUCAUAUAGUAUUUGCCUUUUUCUUUCUGACUUAACUUCACCUAGUAUGAGAGUGUCUAGUUCCAUCCUUGUUACUGCAAAUGGCAUUAUUGUGUUCCCCUGAUAAAGGAUGGAGAAAACAGAAGACUUAUGAAUGAAAUUUGGAUAUUCAAGUACAUUGCUGAUCUUCCUUCAGUAUGCUUGCCAAAUGCUAGGGUUGCAUGGAGUGCAAAGCUAAGAAUAUCAGAAAAAAAUGAAGACCAUAAGGGAAUUUCCAGCAUUCUCAUGAAGACAGAGAUUAGACUUCUUUACUUAAUAGAGUAAGAACGUCACAGAAUACAUCAUAUUCUUGGUUAAAAACAAAACCAAAACAAAUACCUAGAAAGCAGUAUAAAUCAGAGGUAGAUAAAGUCCUACUAGAACUUCAACCCAGAUUUAAUUGAUAAUAAUUUUGUUGGAUUAAGAUGAUCAGCCACCCCUCUAUCUGUACAGUGAAAUGAAGGAUAGGUCUUCUUUUUGGAUAUAGAAGAUAACAUAUGAAAAUAUUACAUGAAACUCUACAAUAUAUUUUAGUCAUAAUGUUUGAAAUUCAGUCAGAAGUUAAAAUGCAUGGCAAAAGACAUUAUCAUAAGGACAAAAACCAAGAGGAAAACAGAAAUUAUGAAUGAAUUGCUAUGUAACAUGGAUAGAUGAAGAUUAUUUUAUUAUGUAUAUCUAUCCUUAUCUUUAGGAAAAGUGAUUCACUAACAAAGUCUAACAUUAGAUUAGAUACAGUAGAAGAUAGGGAUCUAGAACUAAAUACUAUGACAUUGGAAAAUACUUGAACAUUUGCACAGAGAAAAAAUUAUAAGCAUUGGGGAAAAAAGAGCAUCAGAGUAAAUGUCAGACUCAGAAAGAUGGUCUAACAUUAAUAUUGAAAUUCAGAAGUAGAGGACAUGGAAUGUGGGGGGAACUAUAUAAGAACCAUUAAUAUUAGAAACUUUUUAUGGGAAAAUAUGGGAAAAGUUAGUUAAAACACCUUCAAAAGUACUGGAAAACUCAAUAUAUAUGAAUACAAUAAAAAUUACAUCUAAGUACAUACUACUAAGACCACUGAAAAACAAAGGUAAAAAAGCAGACAAAAAAAAAAAAAAAAGCCACUCAUCCUUCAAAUAAGCAACCAUGAAAAUGACAGCUAACUUUUCAUGGGUGAAAUAGAAG
This 3886-nucleotide long non-coding RNA is filed under the name Sus scrofa (pig). RNAcentral's name for it is "lncRNA (ENSSSCG00000062864.1)". Lineage: Eukaryota; Metazoa; Chordata; Mammalia; Artiodactyla; Suidae. The record is from RNAcentral.